This 356-nucleotide ribosomal RNA is filed under the name Eucampsipoda inermis. RNAcentral's name for it is "partial 16S ribosomal RNA". Lineage: Eukaryota; Metazoa; Arthropoda; Insecta; Diptera; Nycteribiidae. The record is from RNAcentral.
AUUAUAACUUCUACACCUAACUUUUUUCUUAAUCCAACAUCGAGGUCGCAAUCUAUUUUAUCAAUAUGAACUCUCCAAAAUAAUUACGCUGUUAUCCCUAAAGUAACUUAUUUUAUAAUCAUUAAUAAUUAUUCAAUUAUUCAUAAAUUAAUGAAAAAAUAAAUAUAAAAGUUUAUUAAAUUUUACUAUCACCCCAAUAAAAUAUUUUUUAAAAAUAACAUAAAUAUUUCUUUAUAAUAAUAUUUUAUAAAAAUAUAAAGAUUUAUAGGGUCUUCUCGUCUUUUAAUAAUAUUUAAGCUUUUUUACUCAAAAAUAAAAUUCAAUUAAUUUUUAUAAAAAAACAGUUAAUAUUUCAU